CCUACGGGGUGCAGCAGUGGGGAAUAUUGGGCAAUGGGCGCAAGCCUGACCCAGCAACGCCGCGUGAAGGAAGAAGGCUUUCGGGUUGUAAACUUCUAUUAAGAGGGAAGAGCAGAAGACGGUACCUCUUGAAUAAGCCACGGCUAACUACGUGCCAGCAGCCGCGGUAAUACGUAGGUGGCAAGCGUUGUCCGGAUUUACUGGGUGUAAAGGGCGUGUAGCCGGGCUGACAAGUCAGAUGUGAAAUCCCGUGGCUCAACCACGGAACUGCCUUUGAAACUGUCGGUCUUGAGUCUCGGAGAGGCAGGCGGAAUUCCUAGUGUAGCGGUGAAAUGCGUAGAUAUUAGGAGGAACACCAGUGGCGAAGGCGGCCUGCUGGACGACAACUGACGGUGAGGCGCGAAAGCGUGGGGAGCAAACAGGAUUAGAUACCCGAGUAGUC
Molecule: ribosomal RNA, 442 nt
Filed under: uncultured bacterium
Lineage: Bacteria
Description: partial 16S ribosomal RNA
Rfam family: Bacterial small subunit ribosomal RNA
Source: RNAcentral